This 495-nucleotide ribosomal RNA is filed under the name uncultured bacterium. Its description in RNAcentral is "partial 16S ribosomal RNA". It matches the Rfam family "Bacterial small subunit ribosomal RNA", at positions 28 to 507 of the family's 1533-position model. The record is from RNAcentral.
GACGAACGCUGGCGGCGUGCCUAAUACAUGCAAGUAGAACGCUGAAGGAGGAGCUUGCUUCUCUGGAUGAGUUGCGAACGGGUGAGUAACGCGUAGGUAACCUGCCUGGUAGCGGGGGAUAACUAUUGGAAACGAUAGCUAAUACCGCAUAAUAGUAGAUGUUGCAUGACAUUUGCUUAAAAGGUGCAAUUGCAUCACCACCAGAUGGACCUGCGUUGUAUUAGCUAGUUGGUGAGGUAACGGCUCACCAAGGCAACGAUACAUAGCCGACCUGAGAGGGUGAUCGGCCACACUGGGACUGAGACACGGCCCAGACUCCUACGGGAGGCAGCAGUAGGGAAUCUUCGGCAAUGGACGGAAGUCUGACCGAGCAACGCCGCGUGAGCGAAGAAGGUUUUCGGAUCGUAAAGCUCUGUUGUAAGAGAAGAACGAGUGUGAGAGUGGAAAGUUCACACUGUGACGGUAUCUUACCAGAAAGGGACGGCUAACUACGUG